UGACCCCAUGCCGAACUCAGAAGUGAAACGCCGUAGCGCCGAUGGUAGUGUGGGGUCUCCCCAUGCGAGAGUAGGGAACUGCCAGGC
This 87-nucleotide ribosomal RNA is filed under the name Citrobacter freundii. Lineage: Bacteria; Pseudomonadati; Pseudomonadota; Gammaproteobacteria; Enterobacterales; Enterobacteriaceae. The record is from RNAcentral. RNAcentral also lists the same sequence under 128 other names.